Molecule: long non-coding RNA, 1011 nt
Organism: Homo sapiens (human)
Lineage: Eukaryota; Metazoa; Chordata; Mammalia; Primates; Hominidae
Product: long intergenic non-protein coding RNA 1229
Source: Ensembl
GGAGAAAGGAGGAAGGAGGAGGAGGAGAAGAAGAAGAGGAGGAGGAAGAAGAAAAUGACAAGCGUCGCCUGCACACGUCAGCACAAAUGGGAACAUGAUGAGUGAUGCUGCCUGGAGUUAAAGGAGGCCAGGAGCACCAGAAGCUGGAGGAGGCCGGGGUGGAUUCUCGCCUGGAGGCUUCAGUGGGAGCACGAGCUCCCGACACUUCGGUUCCAUCUCUUGUUUAAAGGCACCCAGUUUCUCAUCAUUUGUUACAGCACCAUGGAAAACCCACACACAAGUGAAGCCCCGACCCACCUCCCAAGUGCCCAUCUGAGCACCCCUCGUGGACUCUGAGCAGGGGGUUGCCAUCACCAACUCCAAGUCUUGCAGCCCCUCUUCCCUUCAGUCUGGCUGCCACCUUCUUCAUUGCCCUGGAAAAAAAUAAUGAAGUUUCACCAUUUAAAGGGUUUCAGUGCAGCUUGCUAUGGGAACACUGGAGAGUAACACAAAUGGCCAAUUGUCCUAAUAGCCACCAUGGAUUGGAUGGAUGCUAACAACAGGCUCACAGUUCUCCUUCUGUUGCCUCCUUUUAUCCACAUGAGAAUCAAACAAGACUACUGAUUAAAUGAAGCCUUUGAUGAAGUGCAUGCAGUUUGUAGCUUGAUUCAUGGGAAUACUCAUCACAGACUGAAAGUGUAACCCAGGGUCUCUGGGUUUUUGGGAACGCGCUGUGUAAAAGUAUCUACUUGUAACUGUUACUCCCUGAGUUGUUGUUGUUUUAGAAAGUUCCAAGAAGAAGCUUAGCCUUGGAAAAAACAAAAACUGGUUGAAUCCAGAAGUGGAGAUGAAUUUUGGCCAACGCUCCUCACUGCCACACUAAAAACCCUGCUCAGAGAGGAGCUUAUUCACCAUGUUCUAUUCAUGCAAUGUGUGUGGAAACAUGAUCUACGACAGCAUGCGUGCUGCCUUCACCCUACCUCUACAUACAAUGACUCAUUUAACCUGCUGAAUAAAAGCCCUGUUUUCACC